RNAcentral lists this ribosomal RNA (253 nucleotides) under uncultured bacterium. Its description in RNAcentral is "partial 16S ribosomal RNA". It matches the Rfam family "Bacterial small subunit ribosomal RNA", at positions 524 to 776 of the family's 1533-position model. The record is from RNAcentral.
UACGUAGGGUGCGAGCGUUGUCCGGAAUUAUUGGGCGUAAAGAGCUUGUAGGCGGUUUGUCGCGUCUGCUGUGAAAAUCCAGGGCUUAACCCUGGACCUGCAGUGGGUACGGGCAGACUAGAGUGCGGUAGGGGAGAUCGGAAUUCCUGGUGUAGCGGUGAAAUGCGCAGAUAUCAGGAGGAACACCGGUGGCGAAGGCGGAUCUCUGGGCCGUAACUGACGCUGAGGAGCGAAAGCAUGGGGAGCGAACAGG